Molecule: long non-coding RNA, 1428 nt
Organism: Anguilla anguilla (European eel)
Lineage: Eukaryota; Metazoa; Chordata; Actinopteri; Anguilliformes; Anguillidae
Exons: 3
Source: RefSeq, a predicted model, not a curated record
AAAGCCAUUGUCGAAACGUCAUGCGGUGCCGUCUGAAACUUGUAAAUAUUUCCACACAACUGCGCGACCGAAGGCUUGUCUGCAGCCCAACGAGCUGAUCAGGGUAGCACUGUGGCUGUCUAACAGAUGGGCUGACCAUGCAGGAAGUCCCCAGAUGGAGGCGCUGUUGACAUGAAGACAGUCAGACCUCAGAAGUAGAAACUGAAGGGACGAACCGGGAUUCAAACCCUGAAGCUCAGCGUUCCGAGCAUCGGACAAUUCCUUUACGCCACUGUCGUGUUAGCGGUUGCGCGGCUGCAGAAGUGGCCUGAUGAUGAGACAACCCAAGUAUAAGCGACACAAAGACAAAGGGGGGCUCGAACCCCCAACCUCUGCGUCCGUAGGCAAAGACAAUACCGUUGCGCCACCUUCUCUUCUGUGAAUCGGCCGGCUCUUCUGUGGGUAGAAGAAGAUGACACAACAGAAAUAUUUCCAAAAAAAAAAGAAAAAGCUGGAACCCCCCCGGCCGUGGCUGGCUCAAAUCUGCUGGGCGUGAUGCAGUGAAUGGAAGCUGAUGAGAAACGCCACCAUUAAUAAAAUUAUGCGGGACUUGAACCCUCAAGCUUCUGAUCCACAGACCAAGUCACUAACCACUACACCACAGUGGAUUUGUUGUGUUGAAGGCUGAUUCAGUAGAUAUAAGACUUUGAUAUCACAGAAACUUUGCCUUCAUCUACUAACUUUGGACCUGAAGGUGAUGAACCUUGUUACGUAUGUCUUACAGCUGGUUCUUAGAGCCACAGCAAAGAGGUGAGAUCGGGGAAGAGCCAGACAGACAGAGCAGAGCGGGGAUUGAACUUGCUACCUUGGGUUUCGUGGAACAGGGUACUCUGUCUUGCGCCACGAAACCCUUCAAGAGUUCCUGGGUGCUCAUUAGUGAACUUAUUCUCAGACCCAUCAGAAAAAUGAACUCUAAGAAACUGGCAAAAUAUAAACUGACACCCUAACAUAUUUUGGCUUCUUUAAAUAAUGCUUUUGAUUCAUUGAAGGAAUUCCUUUGCAUUUUGAUUUAUAAUUAGAACAACAGGUGACUGACAAGUCCCGUUCAAACAGAUGACCUAAUUAAAGGUGUAAUGUUGUUGCAUCUUAUAGGUGUGCAUGAAAGUGAUUAGUUGGUUAUAUUUUUAAUGCCUUUGAAUGUUUUCUUUCACAAGGAUGAAAAAUGAGAUUUAAUCUAGCCAGUAAUGUACUAUGGAGAACACUCAUAUUCUGUUUUUAUAAACUGCAGUGGAUAUGUAUUGGGGACAGGGCUUGUAAAUGCAUUUUAUUCUCUUUUAAAUAAUGAAAUGAAAUUAAUUGUGUUUUGGAAUUUUAUUCUGCAAUUCCAUUUCAGUCUUGAAAGUUGUGCUGCCAUUGCUGAAUAAAAAUAAUGCACAAUAAGAACAGUGA